Molecule: ribosomal RNA, 400 nt
Filed under: uncultured bacterium
Lineage: Bacteria
Description: bacterial SSU rRNA
Rfam family: Bacterial small subunit ribosomal RNA
Source: RNAcentral
UGGGGGAUAUUGCACAAUGGGCGCAAGCCUGAUGCAGCGACGCCGCGUGAGGGAUGACGGCUUUCGGGUUGUAAACCUCUUUCGACACGGAACAAGGCUCUGCUUUUGUGGGGUUGAGGGUACGUGUAUAAGAAGCGCCGGCUAACUACGUGCCAGCAGCCGCGGUAAUACGUAGGGCGCGAGCGUUGUCCGGAAUUAUUGGGCGUAAAGAGCUCGUAGGCGGCUUGUCGCGUCUGCUGUGAAAAUGCGGGGCUUAACUCCGCACGUGCAGUGGGUACGGGCAGGCUAGAGUGCGGUAGGGGUGACUGGAAUUCCUGGUGUAGCGGUGGAAUGCGCAGAUAUCAGGAGGAACACCGAUGGCGAAGGCAGGUCACUGGGCCGUUACUGACGCUGAGGAGCG